UUGAACCUUAGGAAUAGAUUAGGAUACAAGUUACAUGUCACUAGGAUGGUUGAGCAUCCGAACUCGUUGAGUUGAGUCCGAGUUCACUUAUGGAUACAAAUGUCCGAACUCGUUGAGUUGAGUCCGAGUUCGUGAGAUGUAACUAGGCAUUCGAACUUGUUGAGUUGAGUCCGAGUUCAUUUAUGGAUGCGAACGCCCGAGCUCGUUGAGUUGAGUCCGAUUUCACUUAGGGGCGGGUUACAUGAUUUCUUGAUUACAUAUGUGGCACUUAUGUGCAAAUUAUCCAUGUAUCUGAUUUGUAUUCCGAUGUGUUCAACGGGUGAAAUUUCUAGUUUAAUGGAAGAGCACUUAAGAUAUAAGUGACAUUUUGGGUAAGUGUUGUGAAAUGGACACUUUGGACAGGUAUGUUCUUAACCCUCAGGUUGAAAAUAGAUACAACAACGAUAAGGUGGUAAGAUGAUGAAUGAUGUUUCAAGAUGUGAUAUAUGUUUUGGUGGUACCAUGCUAAAGUUGUUUGGUAUAUUUGUAUUGUUAUGUUACUUGUUAUUUACAUAUGAACUUACUAAGCAUUUAUGCUUACUCUUUCCUUUUCAUUCACUGUAGUUUUGAACAAGCCAGCUCGAGAAUCGGGGCGGGUCGAAGGUUCGAUCACACUAUCCAAAGGACUUUUUUCUUGGUAAAUGGCUUGUACAACUUCUUAAGUAUGGCAUGUAUAGCAAUAUACCUAUUUUGUGUAAAUAAUUUUAUGAUAUGGCCAUGUUUGGUUGAGAAAAUGUUUGAUAUUGAUAAGUCAUGGUGAUGGCUAAUUUAGAUCAUGUUUGAUAUCAUGGAAGUUUAACAAGUUAUCUAGUUCAUAAAAAUUCAUGGAAAGAUGAAACUUGCCUUAAAACAGAAUAUUGCUGCAGCAAUGACAUGAAUUUGAAAAAUCACUAAAAAUAGUAUAAAUGGAACUAAAUGAUGAGUAAGUUAUGAAAUUGAAUCUUAAUGAGUCUAUUUUCAUAUGGAUUUAACAAAAUAGGAAUAUAAAUUAUAUUUUAUGAGAUAUUUAAACUUUUACGAAACAGGGCCAGAGUGAUUUCUAGAUCCCCUGUUCUGACUUUAAAAAUUUAUAAUAAAUUUUACUAAAAUAAUUAGAAGUUGUUAUUUAUAUGUGCAAAUUUUUUUAUUGAGUCUAGUUUUAAUAUAAACAAACCUCAUAGUCAUUUAAAUUUUGUAUGGAGAUAUAUCUGAUUUGUAAUACACAGAGGUCAGAGCAGUCGAACCCUGAAACAGGGGAUACUUUAAUUAAUAAACUGUACUAAUUGGCCCAAUAAAAAAUUCUAGAAAAAAAUUAUUAAAUAGAUAUAUGAGUGUAGAUUCAGGGAAAAUUUACGGAUAUUGAUUUUGAGUUUCGUAACUCAAGAUAUGAUUUUUCUUUUAACUGUGAUGCGAGUAGCUAGAAAGCUGUGAAUGUAGAAACAAAUGAUUUGAAGUUCUUAAAUUGAUAAAUUAUGUUCGGUAACCCCUCAAGCUCGACUCCGGUGAUGGUCUCGGGCGUGGGGGCGUUACAUCACAUGUCAUUUCCUCGACCGAGGUUGAAAUUAAGUAUAAUAUGUCGUAUGCUGAAGAAUCGUUUCGAAUUUUAGCUCAUGAGAUCAAAGAGUUGAGAAAUAAAAGAAUCGCAUUAGUGAAAGUACUAUGGCAUCGAUACGAAGUUGAAGAUGCUACAUGGGAAUCCUAGGAUGCUAUGAGAAAAUAAUACCCGAACCUAUUCACUGGUAAGAAUUUUUGGGACAAAAAUCCCUAAAGGGGAGAGUUGUAAUAACCCGCUUUUAGCUAAAUCAGAACAGUGUUUUUGGAACCACAAAUAUGAUAUCAGAAAAAAAUUUAAUAUUAUUUUUGAUGUUUAUCGCAUGUUAUUUGAUAUGGGUGAAAAUUUCGUGAGCUAAUUUUAUCGUUUAAUUGCUCAAUUUGAGAAAAAAGACUAAAUCGCGUAAAAUGCUAAAGUUCCAUUCUACUUGUUAAAGGUGUCAAAUAGCUUUGGCUUUUAAAUAUGAUGGCCUUAAAUGGUAAUUAGACCAUUUUAAAUGUUAGUGGACUUAUAUGGACAUUAAAUGGAUGAUAUUAAAUGAUUUAUAAUAAGGUUAGUUUAGUAAUUUGGUUAUUAAAGGUUAAAAUAAAUAAAACAAAGCUAAUUAAAGCUUUAUUCUCAUCUUCAUGCACCAAAAAUUAAAAGAAGAAGAAGCUAAGAUAGGGUUUUUCAUUCGACUAGGCAAAUUCAAGCAAUUAAGGUACAGUUUUUUUUAUCCGUUUUUAAUGAUUUUUAUGUUUUUGUAAUCGUCGCAGCAUAAUCUAGCUAGCACGUAUCUUUAAUUUUAAAACUGUUAAAGAUUUUAAGAGUUUCCAUUGAUGAUUUUAUGUGUUCUUUAGUAUUUGAAGAUGAAAUAUGAAAGCUUGAUGAUAGAUUUUCAUGUUUUGUAAAUUGAUUUUUGAUGAAAAUGCAUAAUAGGGAUUAAAUUGUGAAAUAUGCAAAUUGAGUGGUUCAAAUUGAAAUAAAUGACAGUUUUAGGCUGUUAUGGACGUAAAUGUAAUCCAGCCAAGCUUGGGUUUAAUAAAAUGAUGUGAAUUUUGAGUAUUUGUGAAAUAGGGACUAAAUUGAUUAAAUAUAAAAAUUUAGGGGCUAAUGUGUAAAAAGGCCUAAAUGUAUGUUUUGGAUUAAAUUGAAAGAAUAUGAGAUUGAAUAAGUUAAUUUUGAAUAUUUUUAGAUAAAAAAAGAGGAAUCAGAAAUUAGAUUGAGGGAAAGGCAAGAUUAUCGAGUAGCUGACUCAUUUUGUCAUUUUCAUACUCGAGGUAAGUUCGUAUGUGACGAUUUCAUUAUAAAUGUAUGUUAAACACUUUGAUAUUGCCUAAACUAUUUUUAUGAGAUUUUCAUUAAUGCAUGAAUUGUAAAUACAACUCUACGAAAUUAUUCGAAGAUGGAAUCGAUAAGCUAUAAAUCCCGGUUGAACCUUAGGAUUAGAUUUGGAUACUUGUGACAUGUUAGAAGAGUUAUACCGAUUUGGCUUCGGGCCAUGUAUAUAAGAUGAGUUGGCUUUGAGCCAUGUUAUUAGCACUUCAGGUGCGAGUUAUACCGAUUUAGCUUGGGGCCAUACAUAUAGGAUGAUUUGGCUUUAAGCCAUGAGAAUAGUUCUCCGGAUAAGUUGAUGUGGUUGAGAAAGAGGUUAAUACAAGGUGAUACAGGUAUGUACAGAGCCUACUCGAGUAUUAAAUAGUGAAAGUUUGAUGAGAUUGUAUUUGAUCAUGAUUUGAGACAUGAGAAAGGUUUGUAGUUAUUGUGUAUAUAGAUUUGUUAUGUGUAGUUGCUUGAUUUGCAUUUAUGUGAUGAAUUAAGUUAUUCAUAUAGGAGCUUACUAAGCUAUGAAGCUUACUUUGUGUUAUUUUUCUAUGUUUUAUAGUGAAUCAAGGCCAGCUCGGAUUCGAAAGUCGUCAGGAACAUCAUCGCAUUAUCAGACAUCUAUUUGGUACUUUUGAGUUGUGUAUAUAUGGUAUAUGGCAUGUAUAGGCUAGGUGUAAUAUUUUGGUUGUGUUUAUAGCCAUGAGAGUUGGCUUGUAAAUAAUGUUAAUGUUGAUGUGUGUUUGGCUAAUAGAAAUGGUUUAUUUUGACAUGUGUGGCAUGAACAUGGUAAAUUGAAUUGUGGGGUUUAAAUACUUUAGAAAUGCUUUGAUGAGGUAUGAUUUUAAAGGUUGAAUUGAUAAGUAUUUGAUUAGGUAAAUGGCAUUGAAUUGAGUAUUGAAAUUGGUUGAAAUGGAUAUUGUAUGAAUUGUACAUUUGGUUGAUGAUUUUGGCUGCCUAAUUGUAUAAUAAAAUGGUAUCAAUUUGAUUGUUUAGGUGUGCUCGAAUAAGGGUGGCAAAUUGACCUAGCAAAUGGCCUAUUUUUGUCUCAGCCGUGUGUGACAUACGGUCAUGUUACACGGCCGUGUGUCCCCUGGUGUUGUUAUUAAAAUGAAGUCAGGAUGCUCUACACGGUCUCACACACAGGUGUGUGACUGGCCAUGUGGUACAAGUCAGUAUACCCCCUAAUUGGCACAUGGCCUAGCACAUGGGCGUGUGACUUGGCUGUGUUGCAUCAGUCAGUAUACCCUACAGCUUUGACACGGCCUAGUAAAUGGCCCAGUACACAGGCUGGUGUGGCCACUUCGAAGGGCACACGGGCUAGACACACAGGCAUGUGGUUGGCCAUGUGACCCAAAUCAGUAUGUAUGCCCUAUUUCCACACAGCCUGAGACAUGGGCGUGUCUGGAGCCGUGUCAGGCACACGGCUUGUUCACACAGGCAUGUGACCUCGGUAUGUUUGAAAUUGUAUUAAGUUUCCAAAAUUCUCGUAUGAUAUUGGUUUAGUCCUGAACCACUUCUAAAGCAUGUUUAAGGCCUCGUAGGCCUUUAUAAGGGACAAUGUGAUUGUGAUGAAUGAUUUAUGAGAAUUAAUGUUUUACGGUUGGUAAAUGUAUGCCUUACAUUGUGAAUUGAUCGGCAAUACCUCGUAACCCUACUACUACGACGGAUACAGGUUAGAGGUGUUACACAUUUAGCAUACACAUCAUAAUUUAACUAUAUUGUCCCUCUUUUGAGCCCUUGAGGCUCAAAAUAUGUAUUAAAAUCAAAUCAGGACUAAAUCGGAUACUCCGGGAAUAUUUCGUAAAAUUUCAAUAAUUUUCCUAAGUGUAGAAGACACAUGCCUGUAUGGCCAAGGGACACGCCCGUGUGGCAUUGGACGCACCCAUGCCUUAAGCCGUGUCCGACCCCAUGUAAUUCUUUGACUUGGAUCACACAGCCAACCACACGCCCGUGUCUCUACCCAUGUAAAAAUACCUAAGCAUUCAAUUUUGAAAAUUUUAAGUUGCAAAAGAUACACGGCCAAAUUACACGCCUAUGUGUUAGCCUUGUGUCUAACACAUUCCAGUCACACGCCUGUGUGUCUGGCCAUGUGGACUCACAAUGAACCUUAAACAUCAAGUUUACCAUACCUUGCAGACUUCAACAACAAGAAACUCAAAAACCAUUUAUUCAACCAAUCCGAACACAAUCAAAUUCAUCUAAACCAUGUCAAAACAAUCAACUUUGAUACUUAUCCACUAUUCUUUUGUAGAUUCAACAUUCAUAUUGUAACACCCAUAACUGGUAUCCGUCACCAGGAUAGGGUUACGGAGCAUUACCGGACUUAUAUCUUAAACAAUAAUACAUUUCACAUUAAUUUCUCAAAUCCAAAAAAAAAGUCAUUCAAAUUCAAUCAUAUAGUCCCUAACAUGAGCCCUUGAGGCCCAAAACAAGCAUUAAAAGUGGUUCGGGACUAAACGAAAUACUUAAUAAAUUUUUUUAAAAAAAACAUAGAAAAAUUUCAAAGUACAGGGGACACACGCCUGUGUGGCCAGGCUGUGUCUCGCACGGCCAAGAGACACACCUGUGUCACAACCCGUGUGGACAUUUGAAAUGGAAUCACAUGGCCAUGUCCUAGCCCGUGUCCAACCCCGUGUAACUCACUUACUUUGGUCUCACGGCAAAUUACAUGCCCGUCUGACUAGCUCGUGUACCCUUCAAAAUGGCCUCACACGCACGUGUACCAGGCCGUGUUAAAAUUGGAGAGUAUACUGACUUGUCCCACGUGGCCAAGCCACACGCCCAUGUGCUAGACCCUGUGAAGCUACUGAAUUGGUUUCUAAAUAAGUACCAGGGGAUUUCUUAAUAAGUACCAGGGGACGCACGACCGUGUCACCUGGCCAUGUGUCAUAAUGGCUGAGACACGCGCCCGUGUCUCUGCUUGUGUUGACAAAAAUAGGCUAUGUUCCAAGCCACAUUUCUCACCCAAAUUUGCAUCAACCUAAACACAUCCAAUAUUAUAUGACCAUACCAUCAAUAAGCAUUCAAACCAAUCACAACAAAGUCUAAAUCAUGCAAUACCAAUACCAACAACAACAAUACUCAUAAACAUCAAAAUUGGCCAUUCAUAAUCAUAUUAAUAUCACUUCCAAAAGUCACCUAAAUGAUCAAAAUCACUUAAUAGACUUUGUGCCUUAUUCAACAAGAAUACCACAUCUCAAAUUCAAUCAAUUGGCACUCAAAAUACCAAAUACACAAUUAAGGCAUUCACCAAGCAACUAUACAUCACAUUCCAAAAAGGAUCAUUUAUACAUGUUUAUAUAACCAAGUAUAUCAAAAUAAGCCAAAUCACAUGGCUAAACACACAUGUUUACAUACCAUCAUAAACCAAAUCAAGCCAUAUUAAAUGACUAAUUACAAGCCAAUUCAAAUGGCCAAAAUUCAUCAAGGCAUAAAGGCUACAUUAACCAAAAAACCUAUACAUGCCAUAUAACCAAAAUACACAAAUUUCAAAAGUACCAAACCAAUGGCUGGAUAGUGUGAUGAGAUCUUUGACAACUUCCAUCCUAGUCAAGCUUUGAAAUCACUAUAAAACAUGGAAAAGUAAAUAGAGUAAGCUAUUAAGCUUAGUAAGCUCGUGUAAUAUCCUGAUUUUGGGCUUAGUCAGAACAGUGGUUUCGGGACCACAAAUCCAAUGAGGAAAAUUUCAUUUUGAUUAUAUUUUUAUGGUCUACGAUUUCACAAAAUGUUUUCGUGAAAAUUUCGUUCGAAAAUUUCGACGUGUGGGCACUCAAUUUAGCAAAAAGGACUAAAUUGUAAAAAGUGCAAAAGUUGAGUUCUACAUGUUAGAGGUAUCAAAUUGUUAUGAAAUUUUAAAUGGGAGGUCCUUAAAUGAUAAUUAAACCAUUGUAUAACUUUUUGGACAAAAAUGGCCUUGAUUGGGUAAAUUUUGAAAGAAUAGUAAAAAGGGCAUUUUGGUCAUUUAGGAGUAAAAUGAAUUAAAAGACAAAUUUUAAACUCCAAAUGUGCCCCUUUCUUCUUUCAAGGACAGGAAUGAUCCAGACAAGAAAAUCCAUAUUAACCUUUUCUAUUUCUAUUCUAAUUCCGAAACGGAAAAAAUAAUUCUGAUGAUUCUUGCUAUACAUCUUUAAACUUUCAACAUUUCAAGAAUUUGUACUCGAAGAUAAACAAUGAUCAUUUCAGCAUUUUUUUAAUACCCAGAUUAUCUUCACAUUAUCAAUAUCAGAUCUUCUUAUUGUAUACGAUUCUUCAAGGAAACAUAAACUUCUUAAUUAGACUAUUCGUCUUUUUACCCGUGAAGAGAUAAAAUCUUAUUCUCAAGUAUGCACAUCUCAUUAAAUUCUAGACAUAUACUCCAUACAGAUUGAACAAUCAAGUCGACCUUAUUCAUCCGUAAUUGAUAUUUCAAGAAAUUCUCUCUUCUAGUCAAUAGAACGAUUCAACAUGUAUCAUUCCAAAUUCACUCAUCAUAUCAAUCGAAUACCUUAACAAAUGCAUUAACAUAAGUAAUACUGAUACCUCAACUGAAUACAUUAACUCUGAUUAACUUUCUUGAGAAAGGAAAUCCACCAUACACAAUUUCUCAUCGAUUCUCAAUAGGCAGAAUAUAACAAAAUACUAGAGAAAAACAGAACCAUGCAGAUCAUAACCCAAUCAAACUGACAAUAUGUUCGUCUAAUGUUAAGAUCAAGGAACAUUUUCAUAAUAUAAGAAUUCAUCAGGGAUUAGAUAGCCCCAAUAAUAUUUCUAGUAUCAGGUAAUCUUAUACAAUAUCUCAAUAGAGACAGUCACAAAUUGUGCACUAUAAUUACCAUGCUUGAACAUUUCAUAUUUCGAACAUUAUUCCUUUAACUAUUUCUGUCGUCCCAAAUUCCAUAAUAUUCCCUUUACUAAGAAAACCAAAUCAUUAGGGAAUUUCAAUCAAUACAUUUCUCGACAUCAUACCAGGAUAGAUCGUUUUACCAAAAUUAACCUUUUUUGCUAAUUACGAUGUUGCGAAAAUUAAACAAUCUUUCAGUCAAUCCGAUAUCUUUUUAGCUCAUGUCUGUACUUAUCAACCCAUUAUCAAUAUCUAAUCAUGCUUAUAACUAUUCCAUCAUUGAACUCUUUGGUUUCUCGCCUAGAAACUCAUUCAACAUAACUCUCAAGAAUUUCCCUUAUAACACACCACUUUGGUAAGGGGGAGUGGGUCAUAGGGCCUCUGACUCAACUCUCAUAUACAUGUAACAUAGUUUUCAUCAUAGCAAUCAUAUUUCAAUCAUGUCAUUCAUUUCGAGUAACUAACAUUCAUAUUGAUUUUACACUCACUUUCUAGUUAUCUCAUUUAAACAAGUGUACUUAUACAUGUAUUUCAAUGUUUCCUAGAUAAUAUUACUUAUCCAUUCAUUAAAUUAGACAAGUCAAGCACAUAAUAUCAUAUAAGGGCCAAACAAACAUGGAUAAGUAUAUCAAAAUCUAAACUUUCAUCUUUCAUAUCAUCAUAUACAUAUCAUUACAAUCAUAUCUAUCAGUCCAAGCAAUUUAAUACAUUUACUCAAGUUAUAUGAGCUUACCAAUAUAAUCAUCCCAACCAAUAUACAUGAAUAUUCAUCUUAUCAAUAUUUUUGAUAAGUUACUCAAACACAUGCAUUUGUUCAAAUAAAUCGAUCAUAUACAUCAUUGAAUUAUCUAUUAAUCAUAGAUAAGCUCAUUUCACCAUGUACACAUUUCAUGAAUCCUCAUUCGCACCUUUCCAAGUUUCAAUUCGUCAUGACUAUACUUUACUCGAAUAUUUUGGCAUCACAUUCAAUAUGGUCGGUGUAGCUCGGUUGGAGAGUACCUUUUUCUGAACAAAGUGGCUCUCAUACGCGUCGGGAGACAUCACACUAUCAUGGAUCAGUGACAUGUAUAGUUGGACUUUUACACAUGCUGGGUUAGUCCGAGAACCGACUAAACCAUAGCUCUGAUACCACUAAAUGUAACACCCCUCACCCGUAUCCAACUUCAGGAUAGGGUUCGAGGCGUUAACGGACUUAAACAUUCACAACAACACAUAACAUAUUACCAACCAUGCAUGGCAAACAAGCAUAUGCACAUCACCAAUAUCAAACAUAACAUAAAUAGCUAGAUUUAUAAGUUAGAAUCAUUAGCUUGCUAAAGACCAAUAUAUUUGGCCAAAUUAUAAUAACACAUAUUAUAAAACUAGGUCCCUAUACAUGGCACUCACUUCAUAAUUCUAGCAUAUGUGUUUAUAUUGUCAAGGUGUUGGCUUGAUAGUGUGAUGCUGCCUCCGACGAUCUCCAACCCUGAGCUAACCUGACAACACUAAAAGAAAUGGAAAGGAGGGGGUAAGAUUUACGCUUAGUAAGCUCGUAUGAAAUAAUAAUAAGCAAUUUACUAACAUGCUUUCCAUAGUAAAACUAACCCAAUUGUACAUUUACACGUGUUCUGGUUAAGCUACUUUCUGGAGUCACAGUCACUAAAUCAUUUAUAUAUGGAGUUAUGGAACUCAAAAUUAAGAUCUGUAAAUUUUACCAGAAACUAGACUCAUAUAUAUUUUCACCAUAAAAUUUUUAGAAUUUUUGGUACAGCCAAUAAGUAAAUUUUAUUAUUCAAAGUCUCCCAUGUUUCACUGUUUGACAGCUUCAACCUUUCUUCACUAAAAUUUAUUUAUCUCAUAGUACGAGACUCGGAUAAUGUCCCCAUUUGUUUCUAUUAAAAGUAGACUCAUCAAAGAUUCUAAGCAUAUAAAUUAUAACCCAUAAUUAUUUUUCUACAAUUUUUAACAAUUUUUCGAAGUCGGAAUAUCACAAAAAUUAGAAUAUCACAUAAUAUACAACUCUUUUGCUCCCCCUGUUUCCUUUAUAUGAAGAUAGACUCAUUAAGCUUUAAUUCCAUAAUUUAUUUGAAAUUUAAUUCAACUUACACAACUUUUGGUGAAUUUUCAAAGUCAUAGAACUACUGCUGUCCAACAAUGUUUUGCUACUAAAAUUCACUCUUACAUAAUUUCACUGAAUCCAUUUUGUCUUAUCGAAGUUCACUCAAAUAUCGAGUAUAUUGCUCAAAUUUUCUUAAACAUAUACCUGCACUUAUUCAUCAUAUAAUUAUGUUCACAUGUAUUUUUACUUAAUCGAUUUUCCCGUUGAACUCUUCGAAAUAAUAACUGAUACUCAGUUGCCUGCAAUAUUUUCACACUUGUAGCGAAAGCUAUCUGGUAUGCAUAGUAGCCUGCACUUAGUACUACACAUGCGACCAAUUAUCCGGUACAUGUAGUAGCCUGCACUUAGUACUACACACGUGACCUAACCAUCUGAUACACGUAGUAGCCUGCACUUAGUACUACACACGUGAUCGAAGUUAUCGGGUAUGCAUAGUAGCCUGCACUUAGUACUACACAUGCGACCAAUUAUUCGGUACACGUAGUAGCCUGCACUUAGUACUACACACAUGACCUCACAAUAGAUCAUUCGUAUCAUUUCUAUUUCGAAGGCUCAACCGGGAAAUUCUCCACUUUCUAACAUGUUACAAUUUAUUCAUAGCCCUUUUUCAAUUUGCAAUUUACAACAAAUAAUCAUUCUAUAGGCAGCCACGUUUCAUAUGAUAACAAAAUAUAAUAAAAUAAAAAGAAUUGAUAAAUUAUUUACGUACAAACUUACAUCGGAUCCAGAAAUGGCAAUUUACUAUUCUAGUCCGUAACCUUGUAUUUUCCCGAUUUAAGCCCAAAUCUCGAUUUCCUUGAUCUAUAAUAUAACAUUUAGCCUACAAAUUAUUCACACUAUUCAUAUGGGUCUAUAAAUCAUAUUUUUACAAAUUUGCAUUUUGACCCCUAAACUUUUACAUAUUUGCACUUUUGCCCCAAGGUUCAGAAAUUAAACUUCUUCCUAUUUUAUUAUGUUUUAUGACAUGCUGAUAAUUUUUCCCUCCUAUGCCAACCUCAAAUUCUCACUCUAACAUGUACUUAUGAACAUUAGGUAUUUUUACCGAUUAUACCGUUUUACACGUUUUCACGUUAAAUCGCUUAGCAAAAGUUGUUUAACACAAUUUCAAGCUUCAUAUUCUACCAUUAAACAUCAAAAUACAUGCAUAUCAUUUAUGGGUAAAUUUUUAAACGUAAAUCCUAGCUCAAAAUAAUGGUAGAAAUGAGCAGAUCAUGUUACCAGGAUUUCAAAAAUACAUAGAACAUUAAAAACGGAGCUCGGAAUCACUUACUAUUAAGCUUGGAAGCUUGGCCAAACCCUAAUAAUGGCUGCUCUUGGUACAUUACACUGUAGCAAGAAGAAAGGGACACAUUUGGAGUUUAAAAUUUGUCUUUUAAUUCAUUUUACUCCUAAAUGACCAAAAUGCCCUUUUUGCUAUUCUUUCAAAUUUUACCCAAUCAAGGCCAUUUUUGUCCAACAAGUUAUACAGUGGUUUAAUUAUCAUUUAAGGACCUCCCAUUUAAAAUUUCAUAAUAAUUUGAUACCUCUAACAUGUAGAACUCAACUUUUGCACUUUUUACAAUUUAGUCCUUUUUACUAAAUUGAGUGCCCAAAAGUCAAAAUUUUCGAACAAAAUUUUCACGAAAUCAUUUCGUGAAAUCGUAUACCAUAAAAAUAUAAUCAAAAUGAAAAUUUUCUCAUUGGAUUUGUGGUCCUGAAACCACUGUUUUGACUAAGCCCAAAACCAGGAUGUUGCAGCUCGUAUGGCUAAAAAGUACAACUUACCAUUCAUUCAUAAUUAAAAGAAACAUAAGUAAACAUAGGUAAGUUAUAAUCAAAUCCAAAGGUUAGCACAUAAUCAUAACCAUGUAGUCAUGUAUGAGUACAUCAACUAUGAAUUACAUGACAUACUUCUCACAAUACCUAAACUGGUUCGUAUCAUAUCUUAUAUCCUCGUGCCAUCAUCUUUGACCGUUGAACCAUUUGGAAUACUAUCGGAUAGUCAGGAAUCUUGCACACUAAGUGCCAAUACAUGGUCAAAACCAUCUCAAUCCCAUAUCUCAUAUAAAUGCUCACUCUUGAGCUAAUCACUAGGCCUGCUCACACAAGCUGACGGUCAAGAUGUAGCUACAUGGUGUUUCUCACACAAGCUAAUGAGUAACCACAACACAUGCGGAAAAACUUAGGCACCGGUAGAACAUUUAGGACCAGUACCCAAAACACAAUAACCCCAAUGACAUAUCAUUUGUAUCCUAUCAAUUCCUAAGGUUCAACCGUGAUUUAUACUUUAUCGAUAACUUGUCGAGAAUUUUUGUGGUGUCGUAUGAUUACAAUUAUAUCAAUUAACCAUUCAAACAUAAAUAAUUUAAUGCUUAUUAAACAUACGAACUUACCUCGAUCACAAAAACAACGAAAUAAGAUCAGCUAGUCCAAUAUUUUAUCUUUCCCUCGAUCUAGAUCUGUACGAAGCUUAACUUGAUCUAAAUAAUCAAAUUCAAUCCAUUUAGUAUUGAUUAUAUUUAAUUCAGUCCGAAAUACAUAUUUUUGCAAAUUUACACUUUUACCCCUAAUAUUUUAACUUCUUUACAAUUUAGUCCCUAGCUCAUAAAAAUGUAAAUUCAUGCAAUUUAACCCACACCAUGCUAGCUGAAUUUCAAACAAGUUUAUAGCAGCCCACAUAUUUCAUUUAUUCACACAUUUCACCACAUAUUUUUCACAUUUUUUAUCAAUUUAAUCCUUAUUAAAUAUUUUCAACCAAAAUCACUUUACAAAACUUGUUUAUCUAACAACAACUAUUUGUUUUCUACCAUCAAACAUCAAAACACAUAUGCAUUCAUCAAUGGUAAAACUCUAGACUUUUAACAGUUUUGCAAAUUAGUCCCUGGGCUAACUAGAUUAAGCUACAAUGAUUCCAAAAACAUAGAAAUCAUUAAAAUCAGGACAAAAUUAUACUCAAAUGUAAUAGAAGAGCUUGGUCCAAUGCUUGGUUGUUCAAAAAUGGUGAUUUUUCUCCUUUAAAAUUCAGCUAGAAGAAAAUGGAGAAGAGAAUUUGUUUUAUUUUACUUAUUUUUGUUAAUUUGAGUAUUAAAUUACUUAUUUAACCUUUACUAAACACAUUAAUAAUGUCCAUAAUUUUCCACUCAAUAUAACAAUGGUAUAAUUACCACAUAAAUCCCUUAACUAUUUAAUUUCAUAACCAUUUAGUGCCUUUAACUUAUAGAACUCAAAUAUUGCACCUUUUUCAAUUUAGUCAUUUUUACUAAAUUAAGCAUGCAAACGUCGAAAUUUCUUAACAAAAUAUUUAUACAACCUUUCUAACAUACUGAACAUUAAAAUAAUAAUAAAAUAAGUAUUUCAACUUCAGAUUUGUGGUUUCGAAACUACUAUUCCGAUUUCACUAAAAACGGGCUGGUACAACUCUCCCCCUGUGGGAAUUUUCGUCCUCGAAAAUUCUUUGAGUUCUCACGUAUCUUAUUCAAUAUUGUGACUUUGCCAAAGAACCUUCACUAGAGCUAUGUUUUUGUUUCUUAACUCUUUAAUCUCUCAAGCCAAACUUUUGAUCGUUUCUUUACUAUAUGACAUACCGGGCUAAAUUUCAAUCUCUGCAGAAGAAAUUAUGUGCGACGGAUCUAAUCGAUACCACUUUAACAUGGAUACUUGAAAUACGUUAUGGAUCUUUUCUAGUUCUGACGGUAAAGCUAGCCGAUAAGCUACUGACCCUAUUCUCUCGAUAAUCUCGUACGAUCCGAUAAAUCGCGGACUCAAUUUUCCUUUGCGACCAAAUUGAAGAAUCUUUUUCCACAGCAAUACUUUCAAAAACACUCUGUCGCAGAUUUGAAAUUCAAUAUCUUUACGGUUCAAAUCUGCAUACGAUUUCUAUCAAUCUGAAGCUGCUUUCAAACUAUCAUGAAUUACUUUCACUUUCUCUUCAGUUUCUCUUAUCAAAUCAACCUCGUGAAUCUUUUUCUCACUAAGCUCAAUCCAGUACAAUGGAGUUUGACAUUUACGACCAUAUAAAGCUUCAUACGGUGCCAUCUUUAUGCUCGAGUGAUAACUAUUAUUAUAUGCAAAUUCUGUAACACCCCAAUCCCGUAUCCGUCGCCGGAAUAGAUAAAGGGGCAUUACCAGUCUUGAAACUCAUAUUAGAAUAGUAAAUUUUUUUUUUUGAACAUUCCUUUAGAUAAGUACUAGAGACAGUCAGGGAUACAAUUUAAACUUCUAUAAGUACACAUUCAAAAGAUGCCAUUUUCGCAUGGCUUAUAUACAUUAACCAAAAUAUCCUCUCACUACUAGUCUAUUCUAUACAUGCCAUAAGAUAAUCCAAAACGUAGCAGUACCAAACAAUGGAUAGUGAUAGUGUGACUAGUUGCUGAUGAUCCCCGAGCCUAUAGCUUCGCAAUGAGAUCUAUAAAAUAGAGAAAACAAAGUAAACGGAGUAAGCAUUACAAUGCUUAGUAAGUUUUAAGCAGUGACAACAGAUAACAAUCAAAUUAUAACAUAGUUGUUCAUAUUUUUAUUUCACUCUUCCUUCGGGCAUACCAUCCCUUUACCGAAUAUGCACAUCUCAUCAUAUACAAUAGGCAGAUAAACUUUCACAUAAAAGUGAGCUCAUGUGACAUAGAUAUAUUGUAUGAUUUCACAUAUCCUCUCACACUGAUCCGAAGUCACAUAAUCAUAGGAAUAGUCUCAUAGAUUGCUCUCAUAUGCAUCACAUAACUACCUUAUGAUUUAGUUCAAAUCAAACUCACAUAUAAACUUGGAGUACAUACCUGUUUAACCUUUCGCGUUGAAUAUAUUUAUAUGCAAUUCUUAUUACGAAGUCUUAUAGCUCUAACCUCUACUCGGAUUAUCGGCGAGACCUUUAGCUCAGACGAAAUCUCUACAUGAAGUUAUCGGGUCUUACCCGGACAAAAUCUCCACACGUAAUCAUCGGGUCUUACCCGGACAUAAUCUCCACACGUAGUCAUCGGGUCUUACCCAGACAUAAUCUCCACACGUAGUCAUCGGGUCUUACCCGGAAUAUAUUUCCAAGUUUCAUGUACAUUUAAUCACAUGUUACAACAUUCACAUCGACUGUCAUAUUUGUAAUUCAUUUGCCUCAUCCAAAAAUCUAAUAAUACACACCUUUCACCGUUUGUCAUUUGGCCACAAUAUAUAUAUACACAUCUCGUACAUAUCUCACAUUAGCCAUUUGGCUUUACCACAUAUCCAUCUCAUACACGUUUCGCAUUAGCCAUUCGGCCUUACCACAUAUAUUCAUGUUCACAUUCAUCACAUUGGCCAUUCGGCCUUAUCUCAUAUAUGCAUGUUCACAUUCAUCACAUUGGCCAUCCGGCCUUAUCACACAUACGCAUGUUCACAUUCAUCACAUUGGCCAUUCGGCCUUAUCACACAUACGCAUGUUCACAUUCAUCACAUUGGCCAUUCGGCCUUAUCACGCAUAUAUAUAUACAGGUUCACAUCCAUCACAGUGGCCAUUCGGCCUUAUCACACAUACGCAUGUUCACAUUCAUCACAUUGGCCAUUCGGCCUUAUCACACAUAUAUAUACGGGUUCACAUUCAUCACAUUGGCCAUUCGACCUUAUCACACAUACGCAUGUUCACAUCCAUCACAUAAAAUCCUAAAUCAAAAUAUAAAUUUUCAUGUAUUCACAUCACAAUUAUCCAAAUAUACUUCACAUACCACAUAUACUUUCACGUAUACACACUGUCUUGGCUGAAUCUACAUCUAUCAUUUUCCAAUAUCACAAUUUAGAAUUCACGUAUGGGUUUAAUCAAUAGCUUAUGAGCAACUAAAACAAGUUUAUCAAGGUUUACAACAUAAUCUCAAAUUCAGCACAAGCUGUUUUUCCUGAGCAAUAGUCACUAAAUUAUUUAUAACUGGAGCUACAAAACUCCAAAUCACUUUUCGUUAAUUUUUCCUGAAUAUAGACUCGUAUAUCUUCCAUCCAUAAAAUUUCCAGAAUUUUAGGUUUGGCCAAUCAAUACCAGAUUUUUCUUAAAGUUUCCCCUGUUUCACUGUUUGACUAAUCUGACCACUCUUCACUACGAAUCAAAUUUCUCAUUUUACAGAAUUCAAAAUGUGUUGUAUUUGAUUUCAUUUGAAACUAGACUCAUUAAGGAGUCUAAGCAUAUAAAUUUUAUCUUAUAACCAUUUUUUUACAAUUUAUAAUGAUUUUCUAAAAACCGAACAGGGGAUUUCGGAGUCAUUCUGACACCGUCUCACACAACUUUAAAUAUCUCUUUAUAGGAAAUUUCUUUGCUCACAAGGUCUCUUUUAUAAGAAACUAGACUAAUUAAGCCUUGAUUACAUAUUUUAUGCAGCCUAUAAUUCCACAGCAACAAUUUAUAGUGAUUUUCUAAAAUCACGUUACUGCUGCUGUCCAAAGCAAAUUAUUACAAUUUGCUCUCAAAUUUCCAAGUCCAAACACUUAUGAACUUACCAUUUGAGUUUAAGACAUAUCAUGGCCACAUCAUAUCUUAUUAAAUCAACUCAUUAUGUCCUAUUAUGAUUGAAUUUACUCAACGUUUAAUCACUUAAAACUUACCUCGGAUGUUGUCGAACGAUUUCGGCGGCUAUUCGAUCACUUUUUCCUUUCCUUUAUCCAACUUUGGUCCUCUAAGCUCUUGAGCUAAUUCAAAAUAAUUUAACUUAUUAACGUCUCAUUAUGCUAGCUUAUGGCCGAAUAUGACAAUGAAUUUGAUAGGUCAUAUGGCCACCUUUAGCUCAAAUACAAAAUGGUCAUACGCAUUUUUAAUCACAUUAAGCAAUUUAGUACAAUUAAUCAAACAUUUUCUCAUAUGCACCUUUAUGACCAAAUACACACAUCAAUAACCUAAUAUCAAUUAACUAAGCACUUAACAAAUUCUCCUUGAGCCGAUUGUCUAAGUCAAGAUAGGAUCAUCAUUAUGCUUACCUAUAGCCGAAUGUACAACAUCAAUCUAUGCAUUCAUUCGUGUGGCCGAACAUGCAUGUCUAUGUUGAGGCCGAUUGCAUACUUAAUACAUUCUACAAGUAUGGUCACUUGUAUUGACCAAAUACCAUUUUGUUUCAAGUUCAAAACUUGGCUAAUACACAUAUAUGCACUAUUAAAACAUCCUCUCCAUUCCAUCAAUUCAACACAUGCAUUACUCAUUAAUAUACAAAAUUAUAUUCGGCCUUAGCACACCUCUUGCUGGCCGAAUUUUUUCUCCAUCUAGCAACAUUUUAUGUACUAUGCCAAACCAAAAAGAUCAAACACCUAGCUUAAUCAUUUCCAAAACACUUAACCGGCCUUUGACCAAGACUUUAAACAAAGUCUAUGUUCGGCUAUCACACAUAUGGGCAUUAUUAGUUCAAAGUUUUAACAAGAUUAAUUUCUUUGAUCUUAACCUAAAUGACAACCCCCAUUGUUCAUCUAGAUUUAGCAUGAAACAAACACCAACCAAGAAAACAACACCCAUGGCCGAGUAUCAUCUUCAUCACAUAGCAAGAUUUAAACCAUAGGCUAGGUAGAACUCAAACUAACAUCAAAAAUAUGCAUGAAUCUCAUGGAACAACAUCAAACUUACCUUAACCUAGCUACAAGCAUGACCGAAUCUCUUCAACAUUUCCUCCUCCUAAACACCAACCAACCGAACAUGAAGCAAGAACUCCUUCCUUCUUCCUUAGAAUUUUCGGCCAAAAGAAAUGAAAGAGGGUGAACAAAUUUUCUUUUUUUUCUUUUCUUCACUCACGGCAAUGGGGGGGACAAUCACACACAUCCUUUCUUUUCUUUUUUUUUGUUUCUCAUCCUACUAACACUAAUAUUUUAUUGCCCGUGCCCUUUAUUUUAUUAAUCCUUACAUAAUGCACUACCCCAACAUGUUUAUGACAUGUUUUUAGCCAUAACAUCUUGUCCACCCAUGCUCUUUAUUUUAUUAAUCCUUACAUAAUGCACUACCCCAACAUGUUUAUGACAUGUUUUUAGCCAUAACAUCUUGUCCACCCAUGCUCAUGGCCGGCCACUACAUAUUAGGGGGAAAUUGACAUGCAAGUCCUCCCUUUUGAUUACAUGCACUAUUAGGUCCUUGUAGAUUAGCCUAUCACAUUUCAAAAAUGUCACCCAUAAGUCCUUUUGACUAAAUUCACAUGCAGUUUACUAAAUCGAAGCCUAAAACUUUCACACAUUCAUAUUCACAUAUUUUAGACAAUAAUUAUCAUAUUCAAAUAAUUUGGUGACUCAGUUUAGCGGUCCCAAAACCGCUUUCCGACUAGGGUCACUUUAGGGGUGUCACAAAUUCAACCAAUGGUAUAUAUUUUUCCCAAUUGCUUUCAAACUCUAAAACACAGCAAUGAAGCAUAUCUUUGAGAAUAUGAAUCACUCUCUUAGAUUGACCAUCGGUUUGAGGAUGAAUUGCAGUACUAAAAUGCAACCGUGUACCUAAAGCCUCUUGAAAUUUAUUCCAAAAUCGUGGCAUAAAUCGCGGAUCUCUAUCUGAAAUAAUAGAAACUGACACCCUCUGCAAUCUGAAAAUCUCAUAUAUAUAUAAUUCACCUAAUCUAUCAAGUGAAAAGUCUGUGCAUACCAGAAUAUAAUGUAUAGAUUAUGUUAAACGAUCAACAACAACCCAAAGAGCAUCUUUCUUUAUCAGAGAUAGGGGUAACCCCGAUAGAAAAUCCAUCGUAACUCUAUCCCAUUUACACUCAGGUAUCAUUAUUGGCUGUAGUAGUCCCGAAGGUACUUGAUGUUCGGCUUUAACCUAUUGACAAACCAAGCAUCUUGACACAAAUUUUGAAAUAUCACGUUUCAUACCUGACCACCAAUACAACUGUUCCAAAUCAUUGUACAUCUUAGUACUCCUCGGAUGAACAAACAAGCUACCACUGUGUGCUUCAUGUAAAAUUUUCUGUAUAAGCUUUGAAUUUUUUGAUACACAUACUCUUCCUCGAAACAGCAAACAAUCAUCGGAUCCGAUCUAAUACUCUGAAUCAGUAGUCGACUCACACUGUACUCUUUUAGCUUACACAAUUCAUUAUCAAAUUUUUUAGCCUUGCAAAUUUGCUGGAGAAAGACUGGUUUAGCUUUCAACUUAGCUAAAAUCGGACCAUCAUUAGAUAAUGUCAAUCGUGUAUUCAUUGCUCCCAAAGCGAACAAAGAUAUUUUACUCAGAGCAUCCACGACUACAUUUCCUUUCCCCGGAUGAUAAUCAAUCACUAACUCAUAGUAUUUCAAUAAUUCGAGCUAUCUUUUUUGUCGCAAAUUCAAAUCUUUCUGAGACAUCAGAUACUUCAAACUCUUGUGGUCAGUAAAUAUGCAACACUUCUCACCAAACAAAUAAUGUUGCCAAAUUUUCAAUGCAAAAACAAUAGCGGCUAACACUAAACAAAUAAUGUUGCCAAAUUUUCAAUGCAAAAACAAUAGCGGCUAACACUAAGUCAUGCGUUGGAUAAUUCUUUUCAUGUGGUUUUAACUGUUUGGAAGCAUAAGAUAUCACUUUACCUUCUUACAUUAAAACACAUCCCAAACCGUUCAAUGAUGCAUCACUAAAAAUUACAAACUCUUUACCCGGCUCAGAUUGAACUAAAACUGGUGCCUCAGUUAACAGUGCUUUCAAAUGAUCAAAUCUCUGUUGACAUUUCUCAGACCACUCAAACUUUACAUCUUUUUGCAAUAAACGAGUAUCAGUGUAGCUAUCAUCGAAAACCCUUUUACAAAACACCAAUAAUAGCUAGUUAAUCCCAAAAAACUUCUGACCUCGGAUACAUUUUUUGGUGGUUUCCAGUCAACAACUGCUGAAAUCUUACUCGGAUCAACUUUGAUGCCUUCCACUGAAACAAUGUGUCCUAAAAAUCAAACUUCUCAGAGCCAAAACUCGCAUUUACUAAAUUUAGCAUAUACUUGUUUAUCUCGCAAAAUCUGCAAUACAAUUUUUAAAUGCUCGCAUGCUCAGAUUCAUCUCGAGAAUAGAUAAGAAUAUCAUCAAUGAAUACAACAAAAAAUCUAUCCAAAUAUGGUCUAAAGAUUCAAUUCAUCAAAUCCAUGAAUAUUGUAGGAGCGUUAGUUAAUCUGGACAGCAUACCAAGAAAUUUAUAAUGUCCGUACCUGGUUCUGAAUGUAAUUUUUGGCACAUCUGAAUCUUUAACCUGCAACUGAUAAUAGCUAGAUCGCAAAUCAAUCUUUGAAAAUAUUAUUGCUCCUUUCAACUGAUCGAACAAAUCAUCAAUUCUCGGUAAAGGAUACAUAUUCUUAAUCGUAACCUUGUUAAGCUAACGAUAGUCAAUACACAGUCUCAUCGAUCCAUCUUUCUUUUUUACGAAUAGAACUGGUGCCCCAAGGCAAAAAACUAGGUCGUGCAAAACCCCCAUCUGUUAACUCUUGCAACUAAGCUUUCAAUUCUUUCAAUUCUGUUAGAGCCAUUCUGUACAGAGCUAUUGAUAUUGAUGAUGUUCUCGGUACUAACUCGAUAGCAAAUUCAACCACUCUGAUCGGAAGCAAUCCGGGUAACUCUUCUGGAAACACAUCUGGAUAUUCACGAACCACUAGCACUAUUCAAUCUUGAUUCAGAUACUCUUGUAUCAAGUAUAUACGCAAGGUAAGCAUUGCAACCCUUUCUCACAUAUUUCUGUCCUAGCAUCGUCAAUAUCACAACAAAUAACCCACUCGGAUCAUCGGAUUCAAUACGAAUAAUUUAACUAUUCUGACAUUUUAACUCAAUAGUCUUUCAUCUACAGUUUACAACAACAUCAUGCAGAGUUCCAUGCCCAAAAUCACAUCGAAUUCAUCAAACGGUAAAAGCAUCAAAUCAGUCAAAAAAUAGUAACCCCGAUUCAUCACAGGAUAAUUCUUGCAAACUUUAUCAACUAAGACAUACUGACCUAAGGGGUUCGAUACUUUAAGCACAAAUUCAGUGGACCCAACAGAUAAACUUUUACUAGACACUAAAUUUAUACAGGCAUAUGAAUGGGUCGAUCCAGGAUCAAACAAAGCAGUUACAUUAGUGUCAUAAAGAGAAUUGUACCGGUCAUAACAUCUGGUGCCGAUGCAUCUUCGUGAUCACGAAUAGCGUAGCCUCUGGCUGCACUCGAGCCUCUGAUCUCACAGUAGAAUCCUUUGCUGCACAUUUACUACUAGUCACAUUUCCAUUAUUUCUAGGUGGCCUCCCUCUGGACACUAUAUUGCUCGACCUUGUAUUCAAAAAUUUAUCUUUCUCAGGUAACUCCGAGCAAUCACGAAUAAAUGAUCUUCUGAGCCACACUUGAAACAAGCUUUAUUAUUCAUCCAACAAUCCCCAAAAUGUUGUCUUCCACAUUGUUGACACUCAGGUUUGUUGACUUUGACACUACCAACACUCGAUACUGAAGUAGCUUGAGCUUUUGGACUCAUGUGUUGCUUGCCACGAUCUCUGUUGGAAUACCCCAAUAAAGCAGUCAAACGGUUAUAAAAUCUCUUAAUUUCUUUGAAGAAGAAUAAUAGGGUUUACUCAUUGACCUCUUUCUCGAGUCUCUAGCCUCAGAAUCGGCUCUUCUCUUUUCUUUCCUAAGCUUCUCAACUUUGCAAGCUCUAUCGACCAAAACAACAAAUUCUUUCAAUUCUAAAAUUCUAACUAAAAGUUUGAUAUCCUCAUUCAACCCGUCUUUGAACCACUAGCACAUAAUUUUUUCAGUGGAAAUGCAUUCUCGAGCAUACUUACUCAGUCUCAUAAAAUUUCUUUCGUACUUGGUUACAGUCAUACAACCCUGUUUCAAUUGUAGAAAUUCUUUGUGCUUUUGAUCAAGAAACCACUGACUUAUAUAUUUCUUUCUGAACUCAGUUUGAAAGAAUUCCCACAUGACCCAUUCUCUCGACACCACAGAUAUUAAAGUGCUCUACCACUGGUAUGCAGUAUCUCUUAGAACAGAUACAACACAUUUAACAUAUUCUAGUGGUGUACAAGAUAGUUCAUCAAAUACCCAGAUCGUAUUCUCUAGCCAAAACUACCCAGAUCAUAUUCUCUAGCCAAAACUCAGCUUUAUCUGGAUCAUCAUCAACUAUAGCUUUAAACUCUUCAGCCCCAUACUUUCGAAUUUUAUCAACAGGUGGCUUACUUAUAUGUAAAAGUUCCAAACCUUGAGGAGCUACGGGAACCGGUUGGGGAAUAGGUGGGGGUGGAGGUUGCUAAGCAACUGAAUUCGUUCAGACAAACUCAGUGAACCAUUCAUUCUUCAUUUGGAAUAAGGCUUCCUUGGCCUCUCCUCCACGAUGCUCAGAUAUGGGUCUUGAUUCAAACAAUGCUACUCCGUGAAAGGAGACUAGCACAUUACUUUCUACAUCGUCAGAAAUUGCUCGAUUGGGAUCUAUUACUAUAUAAAAACAUAAUUUAAAACUGUCAGGAGAUAUUACACUAUCACAGGUUAAAUAUGGCUUGUAUAGCUAGACUCACACAUGCUACGUUAGUCUAAGAAUAGACUAAACUAUAGCUCUGAUACCAAUAAAUGUAACACCCUUAACACAUAUUCGUCACCGAAAUAGGGUUAUGAAUCAUUAUCGGACUUAUAUCUUAAAAAAUUAUACAUUUCACAUUCAUUUCUCAAAUCCAAACAUAAUUUAUUCAAAUUAAAUCAUAUAGUCUCUAACACGAGCCCUCGAGGCCUAAAACAAGCAUUAAAAGUUAUUCGUGUAACAACCUAUUUUUAAUCAAAUCGGAACAAUGGUUUUGGGACCACAAAUCCUAAGUCAAAAUAUUUAUUUUAUUAUUAUUUUAAUUUUUAAAUCAUGAUAUCAUGUACAUGUGAAAAUUUCGUGAAGAAAUUUUAUCGUUUAAAUGGUUAAUUUGAGAAAAAAUACUAAAUCGUGUAAAAUACAAAAGUGCUGUUCUAUUAGCUAAUGGUGUCAAAUAGCUAUAGAACCUUAAAGUUAAGGUCCUUAUGUUCUAAUUAGACCACUAAAUUGGUGGCUGGACAAAUAUGGACAAGCACUAAGUGAUUUUUAAGUUAUAUUAAUAAGGUUAAUUUGGUAAUAUGUUUAAUAAGGUUAAAUUAAAUAAAACAAAGCCAUUUUAUUCAUUUUUUUCAUCUUGGUUGCCAAAAAAUUGAAAGAAAAGAAAUCCAUUCUUUAGGUUUUCCAUUUAGUCAUUUUGAAAGCUAGAUUAAGGUAUGGUUUUAGCUCAGUUUUUAAUGAUUUUUAUGUUUUUGACAUCAUUCUUCGUAUUCUAGCUAGCCCGUACCUUAGAUUUUGAAAUUGUUAAAGAUUUAUCAUGUUUCCAUUGUUGAAUGCUUGAGUAAUUUGAUGAAUUAUGAUAGAUUUGGAAGGUUUAAUGUUAGAUUAAUGGUUUUUGUAAAGUGAUUUGUGACAAAAAUGUUAAAAAGGGAUUAAUUUGUGAAAAUGUGAAAUGUGGUGGUUAAAAGUGUGAAAAAAUUGAAAAUAUGGGCUGCUAGCAACAUGUAUUAAAUUUGGCUAAGCAUGGAUUUGUACCAAAUUGCAUGAAUUUGUAAUUUUAUGUGAUAAGGACUAAAUUGUAAAAAUGUGAAUGCUUAGGGAAAAUGUGUAAAAUAGCCCUAAUGUGUGUUUUGGACUAAAUUGAAUAAAUAAUUGAUUAAAUAAGCUAAUUUUGAUAACAUCCGAGCAACUCGAGGUAAGUUUGUGUAAUUAGAAUUGAACUUUUAAAUACUUGUAAUUAAUUAAAAUGAAUGUAUAUAAUUGAGUAAUUGAUCUAGUUGAAAUACGAAUAUCUUAUUGAUAUAGUCUGAUGGUUAUUGUGGCCCGUUUGAAAAGUAGGAAUUCGUAGGAGACAAGUGACAUGUCACUAGGGUUAACAUUUAGGUUGAGAUCCUGUAUGUGUUGUGGACUCACCACAGCUCGUAUGAGCUUACCGAUAUAUCAGCUCAUAAGAGCUUACUGUUUUCAGCUCGUCAGAGCUUACCGUUUCAGCUCAAUAGAGCUUAUUGUCUAUCAGCUCAGGAGGAGCUUACUGAUCAUAGAUCGAAAGAGCGGAAAAGAUAAUGAAUCAAUCAAUUACUGAUUUAUAUGUAAUGCAUAUCACUAGAGUAUCCCUCAAUAUUCUAAUAGCUUCAAUGGGCAUAAAUUAUGUUAUUGGUUAUGUGAAAAAGCUAUAUGUUAUACGGAUGAAUUACUGUUAUAUGAUGAAGUAAUGUUUAAACGGAUGAGUUACUAAUAUCGAAUGAAUUACUAUUUAUAUGAUUGAGAGUGAAAUGUUACGAAUUAUGUACAUGACAUAUGAAUUUGAUAUGAUACAAUGUAUUGAGUAUUAAAUUGAGAUAAUGGAUGAUUACAUGCACUUAUGUGACUAACUUGUUGAUGAAUGCUUGUGUAUAGGCGUUUGGUAAGUGAAUUUGAUAUAAUUUGUUUAAUUGUUUGAUUAUGUAUAAAUGGUAAGUUAAAUUCUGAAUUAUACGGAGUUACUAAGCUAUAAAGCUUACGCUACUUUUUUUCCAUGUUUUAUAGAGGUUCGAUAGCUCGCUCGAUUCGGAUAAGUUAGAGUUACACAUCACAUUAUCCAGUUGUCGAUUGGUACCUUUGAACUCAUGGAUAUUUGUAAAUAUGGCAUGUAUAGGCUAGUUAUAAAGAUGAUAGUUAUGGUUACUUGAGAUAGUGAUUUAGGUACAUGUUGUGGUAUAAGUUAAAGCCAUGUUUUUUGGCUUAACUUGUAUGAUGUUUUGGUUGUUUAUAAGUAUUCAAAUAUGGUAUGUUUUGGCAACUAGUAGAUGGAAUGGAAAUAUGCAAAUAUUGUCUUGAUAUGUAGUAGGCAAAUGAAUGGAAAAUGCAUGAUAUUUAUUAGGUAUUUGAAUACUAUCUUGAAUUUGUAUAAAAUGUGUAUGAAAUGUUAUGGAUUGGCUGCUUAAUGAGUUCUAAAAUGUUACAAUUUAUGCUUGUGCAGGUAUGUAAAAAUAGGGUGGCAAAAUGGCUUUGCAAAUAGCUUAUUCUUGUCCACCUGGGUAGAGACACGGGCAUGUGUCUCAGUCGUGUGUGACACACGGUCAAGUUACACGGUCGUGUGUCCCCUAGUGUUAAAAUUAAAAUGUACUCAGUAUACUCCAUACAGUCUCACACACAAGCGUGUGACUGGCCAUGUGGUACAAGUCAGUAUAUCCGUUAUUUAGCACACGACCUAGCACAAGGGCGUGCGACUUGGCGUGUUACAUAAGUUAGUAUACCCUACAGGUUUUGCAUGGCCUAGCACAUGGCCUGGCAUACGGGUGUGUGUGGCCACUUUGAAGGGCGCAUGGGCUAAACAUAUAGGCGUGUGGUUGGCCAUGUGACCUAAGUCAGUAUGUACCCCCUGUUUUCGCACAGUCGGUGUGUAAUAUCCUGAUUUUGGGCCAAGUCGGAAUAGCGGUUUUGUGACCACAAAAUCCGAGAUAGAAAUAAUUAUUUUAUGAUUAUUUUGAGGUCUAUGAUAUGAUUGCAUGAUUGUGUGAAAAUUUCGUGAAGAAAUCUUAUGCAUAAAGUGCGUAAAUUGAAAUUAGGGACUAAAUCGAAUAAUUUGUAAAACUUGCAUUCUAGAAGUUUCUAGUAUGAAAUUGUUUUGAAAUGUUAAUUAGGAGGUCUUAAAUAGAAAUUUUACCAAUUUCUAAGUCUAUGGACAAAAAUUGGACAUGGAUGGAAUUUUUGGAAAGUUUAGUAGGAAGGGCAUUUUGGUAAUUUAGGGGUAAAAUGAAUUAAAAUACAAAAUUAAAAGCCAAUUUUGCUCAUCUUCAAUCCCAUGGCCGAAUAUAGCAAGGAGAAACCAUGGAUAGGAUUUUUCAAGCUUCCAAGCUCGAUUGUAAGUCCGUUCUAGCCUCAUUUUUAAUGAUUUUUACAUUUUUAGAGUCCCGGUAGCUCGAUUAAGCUUAUGCUAGCAAUAAUUCAACCUAGGGUUCAUAUUUGGAAAAAUACCCAUAGGUGAAAUUUGUGUAUUUUGGUGUUUUAUGAUAGAAUAUGAGGUUUUAAAUUAUGUUAGACAACUUGUACUACUCGGUUUUAAGUGAAAAUGAGCAAAAUGGCUUAAUCGGUAAAAAUACCUAAUAGUCAUAAGUACAUGUUAGAGUGAGAAUUUGAUGUUAUCAUGAAGGUAAAAAUGAUCAGCAUGUCAUAAAACAUAAGAAAAUAGGCUGAAGUUUAAUUUACGAGCUUUGGGGAAAAAGUGUAAAUAUGUAAAAGUUUAGGGGCAAAAUUGUAAUUUUGCAAAAAUAUGAUUUUGGGUCAAUUUGUAUAAUGUGAGACCUAAUUAGACUAUAUUUUAAAUGAUAGAACAAGGAAAACUAAAUUCGGGCUAAAUUGGGGAAAAUACCAAGUUGUGGACGAAAUGAUAAAAGUAGCCAUUUCCGCAUACGAGGUAAGUUCAUGUGUAAAUAAUGUAGCAUAAUUGUUAUUUUUAAGUUAUUGAUGUUAAUUAUAUGAUAUGCUGAUUUUUAAUCGUGAAAUAUUAUGCUUUGUGGUUAAUGUUGAGUAAUAUGCAAAUUAUGUUUACUACUUGAUAAAUAUGAAUUGCUACCGAGUAUCGGUUCCGAUAUUCCAUGGAAGACGGCAAAUGUGAGAUCGAGGAAAAAAGCCCGUUUGAAUCUUAGGAAUAGAUUAGGAUACAAGUGACAUGUCACAAGGAUGUUUGGGCAUCCGAAAUCGUUGAGUUGAGUCCGAGUUCACUUAUGGAUGCGAAUGUCCGAACUCGUUGAGUUGAGUUCGAGAGAUGUAACUAGGCAUCCGAGCUUGUUGAGUUGAGUCCGAGUUCACUUAUGGAUGCGAACGCCCGAGCUCGUUGAGUUGAGUCCGAGUUCACUUAUGGGCGGGUUACAUCGUAGCUUGGCUACAUAUGUGGCACUUAUGUGCAAACUUUCCAUGUAUUCGAAUUAUAUUCUGAUGUGUUCAACGGGUAAAAUUCUACUCAAAUGGAGGAAUACUCGAGAUGAAAGGGACAUAUUAGUAAGUGUUGUGAAAUGGAUACUUUGAACAGGUAUGUACUUAACCCUCGGGUUGAAAACUCGAUAUAACAACAUUAUGGUAAGAUGAUAAAUGAAAAUGUGAUAUGAAUGUCUCGGUGAUGAUUAUGCAAAUGAUGUUUUAUGUUUGCGUAUAUAGUUGUGUUACUUGUUAUUUUCAUGUGAGCUUACUAAGCAUUUAUGCUUACUCCCUCCUUUUCAUUCCUUGUAGUGUUGACAAGCCAGCUCGGAAAUCGGGAAUGGUCGGAGGCACACUCACACUAUCCGUAUACCAUCUUGGCAUAAUGGCUUGUAUAUUUUGAGUAUGGCAUGUAUAGCAUUAUAAUCAUUUUGUAUAUAUGGUCCUAUGAUAUGGUUAUUGAGUGGUAUGGAAAUGCUUGGUAAUGAUUAGCCAUUGGAAUGGCUAAUCAUGAUCAUAUUUGGUGUUAUGUAUGCUAAAUUGCUAGCUAAUCCAUGGAAACCAUGAAAUAGGUAAAAUUUACCAUAAAAUAGAUUCAGGUAGCAAUAGUGAUAUGAGUUUGAAAAAUCAUUAAAAAUAGUAGAGAUACAAUUAGAUGAUGAAUAAAAUAUGGAAUUGAAUAAUUAUGAGUCUAUUUUCAUAUGGAUGGAACAAAACAGGUAUAUGAGUUAUAUUGUAUGAGAUGUUUAAAUUUUUGUGAAGCAGGUCCAGAGUGAUUUCUGGAUCCCCUAUUCUGACUUUGGAAAUUCACCAUAAAUUGGUCAAAGAUAAUUAUAAGUCAUGAUUUAUAUGUACAGAUUCCUUAUUUAGUCUAGUUUUAUUAGAAAUAAAUGAGAUAGUCAUUGAAACUCUGUACAAGGAGAUAUCUGAUUCGUAAUAGACAGAGGUUAGAGCAGUCAAACCCUAAAAAAGGGAAGACUUUAACUAAUAAACUGUACUAAUUUGCUAGACCAAAAAUUCUAGAAAAAAACUAAUAAAUAGAUAUAUGAGUCUAGUUUUAGGGAAAUUUUACAGAAUUGGAUUUCAAGUUUUGGAACUCGAGAUAUGAAUUUUUAAGCGAAUGUGAUGCAGAUUGCUAGCUUGACUGAAAAUUUUAAAAAUAAAUUGUUUGAGCUGUUUAAGUAAUGAAUUAAGUCUGUUAACACCUCGUCUUCGACUCCGGUGACGGUCUCGGGUACGGGGCGUUACAUUUUAUGGUAUCAGAGCAGGUUUAGUCGGUUCUCGGACUAACUUAGCAUGUAUAAAAUUUUAGCUAUACAUGCCACUGAUCUGUGAUAGUGUGAUGUCUUCCGACACGUAUGAGUACCGUCUUAUUUGGACAGGGUAGUCUCCAACCGAGCUGCGCUGACCAUGUGCAAUGUUAUGUGAAGGUAUUUGAGUAAAAUUAUGAUUAUGAUAAGUCUCGGUUCAGAAAAGUAUGAAUAAAAGUUUAUGAUACAUAUGUGAUAAAUAUCCAUAUUUGCUUAAUGCUUAUAUGAUGUAGUGUAUAUGGCUUACUUGAUAAGAUGAACGAAAUAAAUAGAAAGUAGUAGAGGUAUGAAUAAAAGUCAUAAUAUUAUGAUACGAAUGAAAAUGUCAUUGUCUUGAUUUGGACAUCGAAUGUUGAUGAAUGCUAAUGAUAUAUAAUUUUUAUAAGCUAAAGGAUUAUAAUGAAAUGAACUUAUCUAUGUUAAAUUGUUGGACUGAAUUAUAUGAUUGUAAUGAUAUGUACAUGAUGAUGCACGAAAUGAAUGUUGUGAUUGUGAUGCAAAUAUCUAUUUUUGUUUGGCCUUAUAUGAUGCCAUGAGCAUGAAUUAAUUUAAUUAAAUAAAUAGAUAAGUAAAGCUAUCUAGAAAACAUAGAAUGUAUGCAUAAGUAUAUUGUCUAAAUGGGACAAUAGGAAAAUUUGUGUAAGCCAACAUGAAUGUUGCAUUGCCUGAAUGAAUGACAUGAUUUUGAUGAUGUUGCUAUGAUGAUGGAAGUUGUGUCAUAUGUGUAUGUAUAAGAAAGUCGAGUCAGAGGUCCUACAACCCCUCCCCCUUACCGAAGUGGUACUUAUAAUGGAAUUUCAUGAGAUUUGUAUUGAAUAAGUUUCCGAUUGAGAACCCAAAGAGUUCAGUGAUAGAAUAAUUAUAAGUAUGAUCAGAGAUUGAAAAUGAGCUGAUAAGUAAAGUCAGAGUCAGUAAAGUAUCGAAUUGAUAUAAAGAUUAUUGGAAUUAUGCACUAUCCCAGUUAGAGAAGGAAAUUCUCUUCGGUAAAUCGAAUUACUCAGGUGCAAAGUUGAGAAAAGUGUAAAUCAGAAUUUAUUCAGAACUGACCUUCUUUAGUUAAUGGUUUAAUAUGAAAUUUGUGAUGGCAGAACUAGUUGGGGAAAUGAUAUUUGAAAUGUGAACUAUCUGAGUGUGACAGUUAUGACUGGACAGAUUUAGCAGUCUCUUUUGAGAUGUUCUAUGUGUUUACCCGUUCUCAGAAAUAUUUCUAUGGCUAUUGAUCUUUUGAAGAAAUUCUUGUUAUAUGGGAAUGUCUUCUAAUUCUAGUGUUGGAUGAAAGCAUUGGUAGUCUGACUGGUUUAUAAUUUAUAUUGCUCUAUUUCAUCGGGUAUUCUAUUCCAUUUCGUCUGAUAAGAAUUGAUGAGAGAAUACAUAUGAUAUUAUGAUUCUGUUUCUUCUACUUGAUGUUUCAUCUGAUAUAUAUGUAUGGGAAGAUAUAUUGUUCUUGUUAUAUUUGAUUCCAGUGGGAUUAAAUGAUGUUUUCUUUUGGACUUUCUUUCUUUGAAGAAUUAUUGGGGUAUUCUGUAUUUUCUCUAUGAUUUUGGUUUUUGAUUCUCUGGCAUAGUAUCGUAUCUUGGAUUUCUUUAUUCGGUUUUCUUGUUAUCUUUGUUCAAUAAUUUGUCAAUUAUGACUCAUGUUCGAAGUACGUUCUUCAACUGGUGAUAAUCAUGUCAAAUAUGACUAUACUUCUAAUUUGAUCUUGGUAAUGUGGUGAUUGUAGUAUUGGGAUUUUUUUUUAUUUCUGUGUAAGGAUUUGACAUCAGUAAAGGCAUAGGUGAUAAAAGCGCGAGUUUCAGUCAGUAUUGUGAAUUAUUUAUUUGAAAGAUUUCAUGUGACAAUUAUGUCAGGAUUGUUUUUCUCAAGUCUGAUAAUAUAAUUUCAUUUUUGUACUGAUAAAAGAGUAAAUAGUCUGAACGAGAAGUGUAUAUUUAUUAGAAAGAGUUGGAUAUUAGUUAAAGUCACUACGAAUGAUAAGGUUUUCAUCUUGUGAAAGCUGAAAAGUUUAUUACAUGUUGACAAAGUUUGGAUAGAUGAGAAUAUUGGUAACUGAAGCGUCUGAACUAGACUAGUCUACAUUGAGUAAAGACUUCCUGAUUUUCAGUAAUGUACCGUUGUAUGAAUUGUGAUAUGUUUGAAAACAGUGAGGUAAUGUGAUAGUUUAGAGCUUUCGAUGUUACAUAAAAUCAGAGUUGUUAAAGGGGUUAAAGCCGAGCAUUAGAAUCUAUCAAAAUUAUCCUUGUCAGUGUUGAUAUUGGGAUGGAAAUGAGAAGGAUUAUUCUUGAGGCCAUAUCAGAAUUAAUUCCAUAGCAGAAAGAGGAAAAUGUGAUGUAUCCUAUUGUUAAAUGUUUAGCGAGAUCUAUAAAUCAUAUCUGUAUUGAAUGAAUUCCUACUCAUCAGAUUCAUGGAAUUUUAAGUCUCUUUGAUUGUUGGAUUUCUUGGAAUUCCGGUAUCCAUUAAUCAAGUUAAGAUCCGAGUUUUAUGUCAUGAUAUCAUGGGAAACUGAUAAGGGUUGAAAAUUUAAGAACAGUUGAGAGUUGAGACUGUAAGCUUUCAGAUCAUAUGAGAAAUUAAAGAGAUGUAUUGGAGGUACAGCCUAAGUGAAAGUUCUUCGGCACUGAAUAUGAGAUUAAAAGUGAAGACCACUUUUCAGGUAAGAUUUUCGGGGACGAAAAUCCCUAAAGGGGGGAGAGUUGUAAUAUCCUAAUUUUGGGCCUAGUCGGAAUAGCGGUUUCGUGACCGCAAAAUCCUAUAUAAAAAUAAUCAUUUUAUGAUUAUUUUGAGGUCUAUGAUAUGAUUGCAUGAUUGUGUGAAAAUUUCGUGAAGAAAUUUUAUGCAUAAAGUGCUUAAAUUGAAAUUAGGGACUAAAUCGAAUAAUUUGUAAAACUUGCAUUCUAGAAGUUUCUAGUAUGAAAUUGUUUUGAAAUAUUAAUUAGGAGGUCUUAAAUAGCAAAUUUACCAAUUUCUAAGUCUAUGGACAAAAAUUGGACAUGGAUGGAAUUUUUGGAAAGUUUAGUAGUAAGGGCAUUUUGGUCAUUUAGGGGUAAAAUGAAUUAAAAUACAAAAUUAAAAGCCAAUUUUGCUCAUCUUCAACCCCAUGGCCGAAUAUAGCAAGGAGAAACCAUGGCUAGGAUUUUUCAAGCUUCCAAGCUCGAUUGUAAGUCCGUUCUAGCCUCAUUUUUAAUGAUUUUUACGUUUUUGGAGUCCCGGUAGCUCGAUUAAGCUUAUGCUAGCAAUAAUUCAACCUAGGGUUCAUAUUUGGAAAAAUACCCAUAGGUGAAAUUUGUGUAUUUUGGUGUUUUAUUAUAGAAUAUGAGGUUUUAAAUUAUGUUAGACAAAUUGUACUACUCGGUUUUAAGUGAAAACGAGCAAAAGGGCUUAAUCGGUAAAAAUACCUAAUAGUCAUAAGUACAUGUUAGAGUGAGAAUUUGAUGUUACCAUAGAAGGUAAAAAUGAUCAGCAUGUCAUAAAACAUAAGAAAAUAGGCUGAAGUUUAAUUUACGAGCUUUGGGGCAAAAGUGUAAAUAUGUAAAAGUUUAGGGGCAAAAUUGUAAUUUUGCAAAAAUAUGAUUUUGGGUCAAUUUGUAUAAUGUGAGACCUAAUUAGACUAUAUUUUAAAUGAUAGAGCAAGGAAAACUAAAAUUCGGGCUAAAAUAGGGAAAAUACCAAGUUGUGGACGAAAUGAUAAAAGUAGCCAUUUUCGCAUACGAGGUAAGUUCAUGUGUAAAUAAUGUAGCAUAAUUUGUAUUUUUAAGUUAUUGAUGUUAAUUAUAUGAUAUGCUGAUUUUUAAUCGUGAAAUAUUAUGCUUUAUGGUUAAUGUUGAGUAAUAUGCAAAUUAUGUUUACUACUUGAUAAAUAUGAAUUGCUACCGAGUAUCGGUUCCGAUAUUCCAUGGAAGACGGCAAAUGUGAGAUCGAGGAAAAAAGCCCGUUUGAACCUUAGAAAUAGAUUAGGAUACAAGUGACAUGUCACUAGGAUGUUUGGGCAUCCGAACUCGUUGAGUUGAGUCUGAGUUCACUUAUGGAUGCGAAUGUCCGAACUCGUUGAGUUGAGUCCGAGUUCGAGGGAUGUAACUAGGCAUCCGAGCUCGUUGAGUUGAGUUCGAGUUCACUUAUGGAUGCGAACGCCCGAGCUCGUUGAGUUGAGUCCGAGUUCACUUAUGGGCGGGUUACAUGGUAGCUUGGCUACAUAUGUGGCACUUAUGUGCAAACUUUCCAUGUAUCCGAAUUAUAUUCC
RNAcentral lists this long non-coding RNA (32088 nucleotides) under Gossypium barbadense (sea-island cotton). Its description in RNAcentral is "long non-coding RNA (GBAR_LNC003171)". Lineage: Eukaryota; Viridiplantae; Streptophyta; Magnoliopsida; Malvales; Malvaceae. The record is from RNAcentral.